Molecule: ribosomal RNA, 497 nt
Filed under: uncultured bacterium
Lineage: Bacteria
Description: partial 16S ribosomal RNA
Rfam family: Bacterial small subunit ribosomal RNA
Source: RNAcentral
AAUGAACGCUGGCGGCGUGCCUAAUACAUGCAAGUCGAGCGACAGGACGAGAAGCUCGCUUCUCUGCGGUUAGCGGCGGACGGGCGAGUAACACAUGGAUAACAUACUACUAUGACGGGGGUAAUUUCGGGAAGCAAGUGCCGAUACUAGCUGAUACUUUCUACGGCUUGGAUCAAAAGAGCAUGGCGCCCUGCGCGACUCUUAGAGACGGAUUCGGGCUGCAUUGGCUAGUUGGUAAGGUAACGGCUUACCAAGGCAACGAUGCAUAGCCGACCUGAGAGGGUGAUCGGCCACACUGGAACUGAGACACGGUCCAGACUCCUACGGGAGGCAGCAGUGGGGAAUCUUGCGCAAUGGGCGAAAGCCUGACGCAGCAAUGCCGCGUGGGUGAUGAAGGUCUUCGGGUCGUAAAGCUCUUUUGUUAGGGAAGAACAUCUGUAGAAGUAAAUGUGCAUGUCUUGACGGUACCUAAACAGAAAGCCACGGCUAACUACGUG